Molecule: long non-coding RNA, 1337 nt
Filed under: Solanum tuberosum (potato)
Lineage: Eukaryota; Viridiplantae; Streptophyta; Magnoliopsida; Solanales; Solanaceae
Description: long non-coding RNA (STUB_LNC001724)
Source: RNAcentral
AUGUUUGAUCACCAGCAAAAGUUGGAUAUAACUUGUGAAUAUUGUGAGUUAAGUCUUGCAUACAUCAAGUGAAGAACACAAAUGCACUAUACAAAAUCUUGAGGUACUGAGAAGGACUCAAGGUAGAUGAUUAUUAUUCUCAAAAGUCAAAACAUAAUAAUACUUUUAUUGAAACAUACCCUUAUUCUUAUUGUCUAGGUGAUCAAGAGAUUAAUUAGAAAAUCUAUACAUCUAGUUAUUUUAUUUUUGUGGAGGGGAAUCUUGCUACUUGGACAAGCAAGAAAUUAACAAAAGUUUGUGACAAGAUCAAGUGCAAAAAUUGAGUUUCGAGGUAUGGCUCAUGGUGUAUGUGAAUUGUUGUGGAUUAUGCUUUUUUUUUGAAUUAUUUAGGGAUUAAUCAUGCAAAAAGAAAUAGUUCUUUAUUAAGAUAAUAAUAGGUUGGAAAUCAUUUGCACUCUUUAAUUUUGAUUUAAAAAUCAAACUUCCCCCUUCUCCCCUUCCCUUCUCAAAUUUGAAAAUAAUCACUCCCUCUUUAUCCUAUGCAAAAUCUAUUUUACCCUUGUCAUUUUUUAUUCUUCAUUUAUAUAACAUCUUCUUAUACUAUACAUAAUACUUUAUUUUCUUAACCUAUGCAUUUAUAGAUGUUUAUUUAAGUUCAUUAGCAUUAUAAGUAGAAUAAUCUAUCAUCAGCAAAUUUUGAAACUCUAUCUAGCAAUUCUCAACAGGCUAUACACUAGAGAUCGAUUGUUGAAGUGGAAGUUGAUGGAUCAGAAUAUCUUCCCUUCGAGUGAAGCACAACAGGAAUCAACUGAUCACUUGUUCUUUAAAAUAUUCCUUUUCCGUUGUUGUUUGGAACAUGCUCAUGCGCGGGCAAGUACAUAAUAGGAACACAAUGGAAUUGACAAAGUUAGUGCAUGCGUUGGAUGCUCUCAAGGAAAAUUAAUAGAAAGGAUGCACAUGCUGAACUAUUUAGGAUUAUUGUAGCUGGUGUAGUGUAUAAAACAUGAAUGGAAAGGAACAGUCGAGUCUUUUGGACCAAGAAGAUAAACCAUUCGAUUCUCUGAAGGAAAAUUAUUCAGAUGGUGGUGAUGCGAGGUAGUUUAAAGGCCAAGUUAGCUAGUCGAAUUGCGGAACCAAUUAAUUACUAUCCUUGAAGUACUAUAGCUCAUGUGUAGUUGCUUAACUGGUGGUAUGUUGGGACUAUGUCCAACAAACCAGAUACACGUACAUGAUUCCCUACUUUGGUAUAUCAUUAGUCUAUAUUACCCCAAAAAAAAAGUUUGUUGUAAAAUCUAAUGUUAUUUUUUUAUGAUUGUUAUUUUAAUAUUACAUCCACU